Molecule: ribosomal RNA, 1082 nt
Filed under: Hypotrichomonas sp. pig/2159/Austria/2010
Lineage: Eukaryota; Parabasalia; Hypotrichomonadida; Hypotrichomonadidae
Description: SSU rRNA
Rfam family: Eukaryotic small subunit ribosomal RNA
Source: RNAcentral
GGGCGGUUACCGUCGGACUGCCGGAGAAGGCGCCUGAGAGAUAGCGACUAUGUCCACGGGCAGCAGCAGGCGCGAAACUUUCCCACUCGAGACUCUCGGAGGAGGUAAUGACCAGUUCCAUUAUUGGCCAUAUGGCUAUAAUGGGUAGGACGCCGCCUUUCCAGCGGCGUGAAAUCUAGCAGAGGGCCAGUCUGGUGCCAGCAGCUGCGGUAAUUCCAGCUCUGCAAGUUUGCUCCCAUAUUGUUGCAGUUAAAACGCCCGUAGUCUGAAUUUGCUUUUACAAGCGGUAUUCCUUAUAGGAGUUCACUGUGAACAAAUCAGGACGCUUAGCGUAUUUCAUUGAAUGAAUGACUCAGCGCAGUAUGAAAUAUUUACCACAAGGUAAGAUCAAAGAGAGCCAUCGGGGGUAAAUCUAUUCCAUGGCGAGCGGUGGAAUGCUCUGACCCAUGUGGAGAGAAACGAAAGCGAAGGCAUUUACCUAGAGGGUUUCUGUCGAUCAAGGGCGAGAGUAGGAGUAUCCAACCGGAUCAGAGACCCGGGUAGUUCCUACCUUAAACGAUGCCGACAGGGGCUUGUCUUUCAACAAAGGCAGGACCUUAGGAGAAAUCAGUAGUUCAUGGGCUCUGGGGGAACUACGACCACAAGGCUGAAACUUGAAGGAAUUGACGGAAGGGCACACCAGGGGUGGAGCCUGUGGCUUAAUUUGAAUCAACACGGGGAAACUUACCAGAACCAGAUGUUUUUAGUGACUGACAGGCUAGGGGUCUUUCAGGAUAUGACUUUUGGUGGUGCAUGGCCGUUGGUGGUGCGUGGGUUGACCUGUCUAGCGUUGAUUCAGCUAACGAGCGAGAUUAUCGCCAAUUACUUAGGUUGCUGCAAUUCUUUGCAUGUAACUCUUCUAAUUGGGACUCCCUGCGAUUAAGCAGGAGGAAGAGGGUAGCAAUAACAGGUCCGUGAUGUCCUUUAGAUGCUCUGGGCUGCACGCGUGCUACAAUGUUAGUCACAAAGGGAAGCUCAGCUGAUAGGCUCAGCUACUCCCAGAAUGUCUAACGUAGUUGGGAUUGAUGAUUGUAAUCAUCAUC